CCUGGCGACAAUAGAGCAAUGGAACCACCUGACUCCAUCCCGAACUCAGAAGUGAAACGUUGCAUCGCCGAUGGUAGUGUGGGGCU
This 86-nucleotide ribosomal RNA is filed under the name Seongchinamella sediminis. The record is from RNAcentral. Lineage: Bacteria; Pseudomonadati; Pseudomonadota; Gammaproteobacteria; Cellvibrionales; Halieaceae.